GACGAACCGAGCGAACGUUAUUCGGAAUCACUGGGCUUAAAGGGCGCGUAGGCGGGCGGCCAAGUCAGGGGUGAAAGCCCCCAGCUCAACUGGGGAAGUGCCUUUGAUACUGGUCACCUCGAGGGAGAUAGGGGCGUGCGGAACUUCCGGUGGAGCGGUGAAAUGCGUAGAUAUCGGAAGGAACACCGGUGGCGAAAGCGGCGCGCUGGAUCUCUUCUGACGCUGAGGCGCGAAAGCCAGGGGAGCGAACGGG
Molecule: ribosomal RNA, 253 nt
Filed under: uncultured bacterium
Lineage: Bacteria
Description: partial 16S ribosomal RNA
Rfam family: Bacterial small subunit ribosomal RNA
Source: RNAcentral